GACGAACGCUGGCAGCGUGCUUAACACAUGCAAGUCGAACGGAAAGGCCCUGCUUGCAGGGUACUCGAGUGGCGAACGGGUGAGUAACGCGUGGGUGAUCUGCCCUGCACUUCGGGAUAAGCCUGGGAAACUGGGUCUAAUACCGGAUAGGAGCCAUUUUUAGUGUGAUGGUUGGAAAGUUUUUUCGGUGUAGGAUGAGCUCGCGGCCUAUCAGCUUGUUGGUGGGGUAAUGGCCUACCAAGGCGGCGACGGGUAGCCGGCCUGAGAGGGUGGACGGCCACAUUGGGACUGAGAUACGGCCCAGACUCCUACGGGAGGCAGCAGUGGGGAAUAUUGCACAAUGGGCGCAAGCCUGAUGCAGCGACGCCGCGUGGGGGAUGACGGCCUUCGGGUUGUAAACUCCUUUCGCUAGGGACGAAGCUUUUUGUGACGGUACCUAGAUAAGAAGCACCGGCUAACUACGUG
This 465-nucleotide ribosomal RNA is filed under the name uncultured bacterium. Its description in RNAcentral is "partial 16S ribosomal RNA". It matches the Rfam family "Bacterial small subunit ribosomal RNA", at positions 28 to 507 of the family's 1533-position model. The record is from RNAcentral.